RNAcentral lists this unclassified non-coding RNA (2179 nucleotides) under Leishmania donovani. Its description in RNAcentral is "gene:LdHU3.36.1630(CDS-product:protein_phosphatas e_2C_putative)". Lineage: Eukaryota; Euglenozoa; Kinetoplastea; Trypanosomatida; Trypanosomatidae. The record is from RNAcentral.
CUCGUGGCCCGGACUAUGGUCUCCAUUUUUUAUCAAAGCCAACUAACGUUUCGCGCCUCAUCUGCGCGGCUCCGCUGCUGCGUCACGCUGCCGUGGGGCACCCCUUCCUCUGCCGAAGGUGCUCGCGCCGUUUCGCGUCUGUGCUGAUGCGCAAGGCAUUGCCGGACAAAGGAGUAUCAUGAAGGCGUUCCCUUUACAGCACAAAAUGAUGCAGCGACUGAAGUUGCCCUACAUUCAUGUCGGCACGUGCGAGGUCAUGAACCUCGCCAGCUCAUACAACAUGGACUCCUUCAGCGUUUUCAAUGCCAAGAACAGGGGUUUGUACCAGUCGACGGCAGCGGCCGCUGCCCAACGCGCGGCGACGACCCCCACCGACGGCACCGCCGCGUGGUCUCUUUCGCAGUGCCAAGAGCCCUUCCUGGGGGAGAUGGUGGCAGGUGGUCUGCUAGACAGCUACACGGGCCGAGAGGCAUCUACGUUUGUGAGCAGCUACCUUGCCAAGGCACUGAGCAUGCACACUGUGUUGCCAACGGAACUACGCAUAUUGCGCAAGGAAGACCCUUCUGAUCCCCUCCUUGCUAUCAUGAUGGCUGCCUUGGCCCGGAGACGUGGUAUGCACACGGAGUCGGGGAGUCUCGUGACGGAAUGGGAGCUUCAGCAGUAUGCCAUCAGUGCUGACGCGGCUUUUUUCCGUGCGUGUAAAGCUGGUCGACGCCCGCCGUACCUCUCCUCGGCACAGGAAAAAAGAGGCAGAGAUGCAGGCGCAGAGGAUCCCCGUCCAUCGCCGCUGCCGCCGGAGGAAAGUGGUUGUCGCGGUGUGUGGUUCUCGGCCACCGUGACCCCAACCUGGCUGGCGGAGCAGCAGCGGCAAGCGCUGACGGAGCACAAGCAGCGGCUAGCCCCUUCUCCGCAGCGAAUACUCGCGUGUGCAGAAGCGGCCGACGAGCGUGAAGUACGGGAGCUGCUGGCCCACACACCGUUUUGUCUCGAUGUCGCUGUCGGUUGUGUGGGCAAUUCACGUGCCUUCGGCGUUGCCCGAAACGCGCUGACUGGCGGUAUGCAGAGUCGACUGGACGCAUCACGAGAGCGAACGGUGCCGCUGAGCAUCGACCACAGCCCGCUUCGCACCUCGGAGUACCGGCGUGUCGUGCAGGCAGGCGGCAUAGUGGACUCGACCGUCGGGGACAUGAUUGACGGCAAUCCGUACUACAACGUCGCCAGGAGUUUUGGCCACUGGUCCAUGAAGAAGGAUGGACGCCGCUCGCCGGUGGAGCAGAAGAUGAUCGCUCUGCCCACGGUCAAGACGUGGCGCAUGCUAGCCGGGGAUGCCCUCGUGCUGUGCAACCAUGCCGUCUUUGAGACUAGGCAUCAGGAUGACAGUAGCAUGGAUGAGCUGGCGAAGGUGGUGGGCCGAGGGCUCUCGCUUGAUUUACCGCCGGAGGCGAUCGCCGCCUCUCUCUGUGACUUUGCCGUUCGCUUCGGUGCGGAGCACUCCCUGCAGGUGAUGGUGGCCGUGGCGGGGCCGGCAGCCGGCACCGCACCAUGCGCGGCAAGCGGAGAUGAUUCUGGAAUGUCAGUGCCCGAGUUCUCCGAGUGGGUGGACCCGGGGCCGCUCUACCUCGGUGCGUGCCAGCGGUUUCCUGAGCUGCGCCGAAGGCUGCAGCAGGACUGCGCCCGGUGUGAAAUGACACUGGCCUCACUGAUCCGCCGCCGUUGGGAGCGCGUGCGUGAUCUGCUUCCGACUCGCCACUCCCUGUCGCUGCUGCCCUACUACGGAAAAGAGUGCGGCGCGUUGCAGCAAAUUAUGGAGGAGGAGGCCAUUUUUUUUGAGCACGAAAUCUUGCGCGACGUGACUGACGUGAAUGACCCACGUCUCGAUGUGGUGUUUCAAAAGCUGGCGAAGCGGCUACAGCCGAGCGCGCCUGUUGCGUGAUCUGAGCGUGCUGCUAGGUGCGCGCGCAUGUGUUUGGCGCUGUGGGGGUGUUUUGUACGCGGUGCUGCGGUGUAACGGGUGCAAAGGGUCACGCGACACAAACAACAGCGCGUUGCGGACAUCCUCGAAGGAGCUCUUCUUUUUGUUUGUUGUUUGGAGGCGUGUGCGUGUGUGUGUGUGUGUGUACAUGUGAAGACUUUUACUCAGUCUCGUCGGCCCUCGUUAACAGAUGCAGGCACACACAAG